CCUAAUAACGCUUUCUUCCUUGAUUCUUCCAAUUUCAUUCAAUUAUACCACUAAUUAUUGCUGCAACUGAAACUGGCUUUACAAUGAAUAGGAAGUGGGUUCCUUUCUUCAAAAUGUUGAAAAUUAAUGAUUCAAUUUCAUCCUUUUGUCUUCAUUCUACUUCCCAAUGUGAACUAUUUGGAACUAAUGUUCAUCUGGACACGUGCUUUCAUGUCAUCUUGCAUGCCACCCCCACAAUCAAUCCCUUUUCAUACAAUCUUUUCCUUGCUCUUGCCAAAAUAUUUCAAGUUUCCAUUGUUGUGAAAUCCUACAAUGGCAAAUCAGUGAGCUUUCCUUCUCUCUUGUACAAGAGUUUCCUCCCUGUUCAGAGUUGAAAUUUGGAGUAUGAAGGGGAGCUAAGCCGAUGGUAUGUGAAGGAAAUUAAGAAGAAGCUAAAACAUGAAUGGGUGUUCAUUAACGAUGGAAGAAACAAACAUGUUGUGGGCUUCAACAUGAUUGAGGACCGCCAUAGGCUUACUAAGGGUUGGUAUCAAUUGAGGGUAUUUUAGAGCUUAGAAAAAAACUGUACUUUUUGGCUGCAUGAAGUUGGAGAUUAUAUUUUCCACAUCUCAAUUCUUAAUCAGGACAAGAAAGAGAUCCAAGUUCCUGGAGGUCCUCCUCCACGUAAUCUAGACAUAGCCUCUUCCAACAUCUGCUGCUACAUAUAUUAAAGAUGUUGGGGUCGAUAGCUGGAUUUUCAUUGGUCCCUCCCAAUUUCAAGGGGAAUAUCGUAUGCAUAUCCUUCUUAAUUCUGUAGUUGCAAAGAUGGGCAGCAGCUGGAGACAGUUCUGCAAUGUUAAUAACAUUUUCCCUACGGACCAGCUCAGAUUCGAUUUUUCAAUGACAUGUAUCAAAUUGCUCAUGUUGAUAGAAUGGAGCCUAUUUGAUGAAGGAUGGAUUUAGGAGGGUCUUUGUGAUGAAGUGUUUGAUUUCUGGAAUGUUAUCAGGCUUUCUAUUGUUGUUUGUAUUCCCGGGUUGUUUAAUUGUUGGUUGUUAAUUAGCUCCAGUGAUGAAUGUGUGUAAUUUAUCUUUGAAUUAUCAAACAAUUAAGUGUUUGCAUUAUGGUAUGAAG
Long non-coding RNA from Lotus japonicus, 1111 nucleotides. RefSeq lists it as uncharacterized. The transcript is spliced from 3 exons. NCBI's taxonomy places the organism in Eukaryota, Viridiplantae, Streptophyta, Magnoliopsida, Fabales, Fabaceae. The record is from RefSeq and is a predicted model, not a curated record.